AUGCACCCGGAGCUGAAGUCCUACUUGGCCGAUUACCACGCACGGACCAUGGCGCGCUACGACGCCGUGGACAAGCAGCACGCGCGGAUGUUAAAGAUCCUCACGGGCGUCUCGACCCCGCAGCUGGCUUGCCCCAUGGGCACAGCAGCCGAUGGUGGCCUCACCGACGACCCCAGAGCCCCGGCGGUCGUCCACGACGUCUUCUCCACCACCACCCAGGCCCAGGAGACCCCCGCGGUCUCGCAUGAUGCACCCUCGGUCCGCAUCGAGAGGGUGCCCGCCACCUGUUCGACGGAGUGCCUGACCCAGGUCGCCUCCAUCGCCAGCGUCGGCGAGGUCCACGACGCUGCCACAGCCGCCCAGCUCGAGCCCGUGGAUGACCACAUCCACCAGGAGGUCGCCUCCGAGAUCAUCACACCAGUGGCAACCACCACCGAGGUCAACCCCAAGACCAGCGUGCAGGAGCUGGACGACUCGCCACUACCAUGCAGCAACAACUCCACCCAAGUAGUGAGCGAGGCGGACCACAUCGUCGUUCUCCUUGUUCCCAACAACUUGGCUGCACUAGCGCCGUCCAAGUGCUUGGCAGAAUGCUCCGCCUAUGUGGGCGACUGGGUGAAACCUCUGACCGCCACCAUCGAUAGUGUCGACGAGACACAUGACACUCCCAUCGCUGAGCGUCUGCACCCGCCUUCCUUCGAACGACAUCAACCAUGGAGGUUCAAUCACAUGGGAUCCAUCUUCAGGCCUAGCCCGUGGCCAUCGUUCGGGCCUCUGUCAGUCACAAGCUACCCGGAAGAGCCAUGUUCAAGUAUCCAUAGUCAAUCACAUCGAGGUUCCUGCUUUAGUCCUUGGUUAGUUCGGUUGAUGUUUAGAGAUGUUCACCUGGAGGAGCAUGGUAAUGGAACUGAUUCAGUCAAGCCUUGCACCAGUGGAAUUCAACACAAAGUGCGUGAAAGUUUCACUGAAAUUGCAAGGCGAUGUUCGUUUGAUGUUCGGAGAUGUUCACCGGGAGAUGGUCCAGCAAUCGCAAGGGAGUUCGAUGUUCCUUUGGAAAUCAAAAAAAUGGAUAAAGGAUGCAUGGGUUCAAGUGUGGCUGCAUAUGUAUUACCUCUUGAAAGAUAUGAACCAUGCAAGUAUCAGUUUUUCAGAGAAUCAAGCAUGACUGAUUUUCCUGCUGAAUUCGAAGUUGAAUACGAAGCUGAAUAUUAUGUUCAAAAUACAACUCCUGGAUUGGUUGGGCGUGAAGAUGACUUAAACCUCUGGAACACAGAUGGAUGCUCAGCAGGCAUUGAUAGCAACAAUACAGUUGUUGUGGCUGAUAGCAAAUCUGAUAAAAUAUCUGACAGUUGA
Molecule: ribosomal RNA, 1353 nt
Filed under: Triticum aestivum (bread wheat)
Lineage: Eukaryota; Viridiplantae; Streptophyta; Magnoliopsida; Poales; Poaceae
Description: partial small subunit ribosomal RNA
Source: RNAcentral